UUAACACAUGCAAGUCGAACGAUGAACCUCGCUUGCGGGGGGAUUAGUGGCGAACGGGUGAGUAACACGUGAGUAACCUGCCCUUAACUCUGGGAUAAGCCUGGGAAACUGGGUCUAAUACUGGAUAUUGACUUUUCACCGCAUGGUGGGGGGUUGAAAGCUUUUGUGGUUUUGGAUGGACUCGCGGCCUAUCAGCUUGUUGGUGAGGUAAUGGCUCACCAAGGCGACGACGGGUAGCCGGCCUGAGAGGGUGACCGGCCACACUGGGACUGAGACACGGCCCAGACUCCUACGGGAGGCAGCAGUGGGGAAUAUUGCACAAUGGGCGAAAGCCUGAUGCAGCGACGCCGCGUGAGGGAUGACGGCCUUCGGGUUGUAAACCUCUUUCAGUAGGGAACAAGGCUACACGUUGUGUGGUUGAGGGUACCUGCAGAAGAAGCGCCGGCUAACUACGUGCCAGCAGCCGCGGUAAUACGUAGGGCGCAAGCGUUAUCCGGAAUUAUUGGGCGUAAAGAGCUCGUAGGCGGUUUGUCGCGUCUGCCGUGAAAGUCCGGGGCUCAACUCCGGAUCUGCGGUGGGUACGGGCAGACUAGAGUGAUGUAGGGGAGACUGGAAUUCCUGGUGUAGCGGUGAAAUGCGCAGAUAUCAGGAGGAACACCGAUGGCGAAGGCAGGUCUCUGGGCAUUAACUGACGCUGAGGAGCGAAAGCAUGGGGAGCGAACAGGAUUAGAUACCCUGGUAGUCCAUGCCGUAAACGUUGGGC
Molecule: ribosomal RNA, 763 nt
Filed under: Arthrobacter psychrolactophilus
Lineage: Bacteria; Bacillati; Actinomycetota; Actinomycetes; Micrococcales; Micrococcaceae
Description: bacterial SSU rRNA
Rfam family: Bacterial small subunit ribosomal RNA
Source: RNAcentral